This 339-nucleotide ribosomal RNA is filed under the name uncultured bacterium. RNAcentral describes it as "partial 16S ribosomal RNA". It matches the Rfam family "Bacterial small subunit ribosomal RNA", at positions 338 to 694 of the family's 1533-position model. The record is from RNAcentral.
CCUACGGGAGGCAGCAGUGGGGGAUAUUGCACAAUGGGGGAAACCCUGAUGCAGCGACGCCGCGUGAGUGAAGAAGUAUUUCGGUAUGUAAAGCUCUAUCAGCAGGGAAGAAAAUGCCAGUACCUGUCCCAGAAUCCCUGUCUAACUACGUGCCAGCUCCCGCGGGAAUACGUCGGGGGCAGCCGUUAUCCGGAUUUACUGGGCGUAAAGGGGGCGUAUACGGUUAUGUAAGUCUGGAGUUAAAGCCCGGGGUCCAACCCCGGGACUGCCUUGGAAACUGUGUAACUGGAGUACAGGAGGGGCAGGCGGAAUUCCUGGGGUAGCGGGGAAAUGCGUAGA